Alligator sinensis (Chinese alligator) is the source of this 1070-nucleotide long non-coding RNA. RefSeq lists it as uncharacterized. Lineage: Eukaryota; Metazoa; Chordata; Crocodylia; Alligatoridae. The record is from RefSeq and is a predicted model, not a curated record. The transcript has 4 exons.
AGCAGCCUCCAUUUUAGCUCAGGCAUCAGGGCUGAGCCAGCAGUUUGCUGCUGGCAGCUGAAACAACUCCUGGCUGAGCUGGUGCUCGAAGCACUUUGGAGGUUCCUGAACAUCUGUGGCUUCUUCUGGUUUGGCAGGGGUCCUGCUUCAGGACUGAUCCCCAGCUCUACUGCUGCAGAACUUGGAAUUGAACGGAGGAUUGGAGAAUAGUUGGAAUUGAACCCAGGGAUUCCAUAAUAAACAUGGUGAAAGACUGGGGAGCUGAGCACACUGGCCAGAUUGAAUCUCCCACAAUGCAAGUCUGAACGUAUGGGUCUGUGUGUUCCAUUGCGUCUGUGCAGUCCAAGCAGGAGCCAGGGAGUAUGAACAACUAGCAAUAAAGUGGAACCCAAGAGGCUGCUAAGAUUCAGACAUAUCCAACCAUGUCCUCAAAUCCCAUAAAUGGAUUCCUGUUCUCUGUUCCUCCUCAGCCAUGCCAGCUCAAGACAAGUUGGGCCAAUCUGCUACAGUCUGUUGCUCUCUGAACUACACAAGGUCCCUCAAUUUCAGGGAGUCCAAAAAACAGCUGUGACUUUCCUAUUUGCAGAACAGCUCUGUUUGCUUUGCUGAAACCAUGCUGCAUGUUUGAAAUGUAACAAACUUUCACUGCCCAAAAACUUUCUUUCCCUUUGGAAAAGGAUUUGUGUAAGAACAAUUACUGCAAAACAUAACGUUUGUGAUCAAGUGCCAGUGACUUCCAUGCAAGCAUGAUCCUUAUCUUGAACUUCCAAGAUCCAUGAUCUUCAGUAGUGUAACUAAGGCAGGAUGACUGGAGCAGCAGCCCCAGAUGCUGACAUAGAAAAAUAACAACUGCCACUAAAGCUGCACAUCUGCACAGGCAGCACCAGCAGCCAGAAAAUGCAUCAUGCAUCACCACUGCCCCAGCCACCCAGCUGCUCUGUUAUGCCUCUGCUGUUCUUAUUAGGAAAGAUAGGAGGAAAAUGCCAAAUAUCAUGGCAAAUAGGUACCAGUGAAGAGAUGAAGAAGAACAAUCUAACAGAAGGAAAAGAGAAAAAAAAACCUACAAUGUG